Molecule: ribosomal RNA, 460 nt
Filed under: uncultured bacterium
Lineage: Bacteria
Description: partial 16S ribosomal RNA
Rfam family: Bacterial small subunit ribosomal RNA
Source: RNAcentral
CCUACGGGAGGCAGCAGUGAGGAAUCUUGGUCAAUGGACGAGAGUCUGAACCAGCCAAGUAGCGUGAAGGAUGACUGCCCUCUGGGUUGUAAACUUCUUUUAUAUGGGAAUAAAAUGUUCCACGUGUGGGAUUUUGUAUGUACCAUAUGAAUACGGAUCGGCUAACUCCGUGACAGCAGCCGCGGUAAUACGGAGGAUCCGAGCGUUAUCCGGAUUGAUUGGGUGUAAAGGGAGCGUAGGUGGAUUGUUAAGUCAGUUGUGAAAGUUUGCGGCUCAACCGGAAAAGUGCAGUUGAAACUGGCAGACUUGAGUACAGUAGAGGUGGGCGGAAUUCGAGGUGUAGCGGUGAAAUGCUUAGAUAUCACGAAGAACUCCGAUUGCGAAGGCAGCUCACUGGACUGCAACUGACACUGAGGCUCGAAAGUGUGGGUAUCAAACAGGAUUAGAUACCCUAGUAGUC